This 86-nucleotide transfer RNA is filed under the name Patescibacteria group bacterium. Its description in RNAcentral is "tRNA-Tyr". It matches the Rfam family "tRNA". From Rfam's summary of the family: Transfer RNA (tRNA) molecules are approximately 80 nucleotides in length. Their secondary structure includes four short double-helical elements and three loops (D, anti-codon, and T loops). The record is from RNAcentral.
GGGUGGGUACCGAAGUGGUCAAACGGGACUGACUGUAAAUCAGUUGCCUUCGGGCUUCGGGGGUUCGAAUCCCUCCCCACCCACCA